Molecule: ribosomal RNA, 849 nt
Filed under: uncultured bacterium
Lineage: Bacteria
Description: bacterial SSU rRNA
Rfam family: Bacterial small subunit ribosomal RNA
Source: RNAcentral
UGCGGAAUGUGUGGUGUAGCGGUGAAAUGCUUAGAUAUCACACAGAACACCGAUUGCGAAGGCAGCACACUAAGUCAUUAUUGACGCUGAGGCACGAAAGUGUGGGGAUCAAACAGGAUUAGAUACCCUGGUAGUCCACACUGUAAACGAUGAUAACUCGCUGUCGGCGAUACACAGUCGGUGGCCAAGCGAAAGCAUUAAGUUAUCCACCUGGGGAGUACGACCGCAAGGUUGAAACUCAAAGGAAUUGACGGGGGCCCGCACAAGCGGAGGAACAUGUGGUUUAAUUCGAUGAUACGCGAGGAACCUUACCCGGGCUCGAACGGUGCAUGAAUAUACGAGAGAUUGUAUAGUCCUUCGGGACGUGUAUCGAGGUGCUGCAUGGUUGUCGUCAGCUCGUGCCGUGAGGUGUCGGCUUAAGUGCCAUAACGAGCGCAACCCUUGUCAUUAGUUGCCAUCAGGUCAAGCUGGGGACUUUAAUGAGACUGCCACCGUAAGGUGUGAGGAAGGGGGGGAUGACGUCAAAUCAGCACGGCCCUUAUGUCCGGGGCGACACACGUGUUACAAUGGGAGGUACAGAGGGCAGCUAUCCGGUGACGGAAUGCUAAUCUCCAAAACCUUUCUCAGUUCGGAUUGGAGUCUGCAACUCGACUCCAUGAAGGUGGAUUCGCUAGUAAUCGCGCAUCAGCCAUGGCGCGGUGAAUACGUUCCCGGGCCUUGUACACACCGCCCGUCAAGCCAUGGAAGCUUGGGGUGCCUGAAGUUCGUGACCGCAAGGAGCGACCUAAGGCAAAACAGGUAACUGGGGCUAAGUCGUAACAAGGUAACCNAAAGGGCGAAUCGUAACUC